Long non-coding RNA from Myotis daubentonii (Daubenton's bat), 1480 nucleotides. RefSeq lists it as uncharacterized. Lineage: Eukaryota; Metazoa; Chordata; Mammalia; Chiroptera; Vespertilionidae. The record is from RefSeq and is a predicted model, not a curated record.
GAAAGCUGGUCUCAUCACCUGGAGUACCAGUCCCACCACGGGGCCUCAUGGGAGACGGACGGGGCACACACAAAUGUACAGGAAGGGCUAGAACAGCAGGGCCCUGUGCCUGCCCCGUGGCUGCAGGUAUAUUAAUAGUUGCUGGGUCCCAGGCGGGCAGUGCCCACAUGCCUUCAGAGCCGGUGUGGUCCACAGGAAGGCAACACCGUGCCUCCGGGGAAAGAGGCCUCCGAGUUCCUGCUGAACCACUCAACAGCUUAAAAUACAACCAGCCCUCUCCCUGCCUGCCAGCUGCUGGGGAAGGGCUAAAAUUCUACCCUCCCCCAACCGGGCAUGAGACCAGGGCCCAGGAGGAGAGGACAGCCGUCGGGGGCCCAACUGGCUGCUGGGAGAGGAAGCUGGGCAGCAGGAGAGGGCGGCCAGGAGAGGGGCUAUACUCCCAGCAGCCGCCACACUGCGCCCAGGCCAGCCCAAGACCAAAGGACAGGAGAGACUGAGCCCUCACAGAGGAAGGCACUGUUGGAUCAGAAGACUGGAAGAGGCCAGAGAUGCUGACCCCUGUGGACACAGGCUGACCAGAGCGGCAGGAGGAGCUCAUCCAGGCCGGCCCGCAACCUGUGCGCCCAGCUCUCCCAGCCCCAGUGCAGCAAGCAGUUCCAGGCCUGCCCGGAGCCACCAUCAACUUGCAUCAUUGGAAACCCAUGAUGAUCUGAUAUCAGGGACACGGUGAGAAGUCCUCAAAGGUAGACCUGUGAGUCAUAGGGUGGGGCAAGGGUGAGUCAUUGCUGAGCCCUUAACCAUCCAGGUUGGUUCUAAACACUCUGAAGCUACAACUUUUGGGGACUUCUAAGUAACAGCAAAGGCUGUGGUCUUCAGAAACUAUCUUUUUCACUCGGCCUAUCUGGACAAAACAGAUGAAAACACAAAGGUGUUUUAUAACCGCACUUUCAAAAGCAUCGAUUUUAUUCUGUUGGUAGUUGGGGGGCUCACAGUAUCUUGAAACCUUUGUGUCCCAACCGGCCUCAUUUGCUGCCCUCAUUGAGGGGAAACAAUGAGAGUACUCACUCGGAGACCACAUCUUAAAAUCCUACCAAGUUGAGAUGUCAAAUUGUGAGGUACUAAGGGGGUAGACUUGAAACCCUAAAAUCUAUCCAUGUUUUGCUACUUCGCUAGUUCUGUCAAAUUCUAGCUUCUCCAGUGUAGUCUGCGUCGGCGCCUCUUCCGUACCACUGGGUUCCAGCUAGGUGAGGCUUGUGGUGUCCUGACCAAAUAGAUGGCAUCCUUGGGGGAAUUCUGUACACAUUCCUAGGGAGUUGGAACAUUCUGGAGUUCCCCUUUUGAGAUUGCUUUCCUGAGCCCUGCACUCACUCAACAGGAACCAACUCAUUUUGUGAACCUACUGUUAACGUAAAAAAACCAUUGAAACCUGUAAAGAAUUUUUGUAAGUUUAUUUGAGCCAAACUGUUGACAUAUGCUGGGA